AAAUUGAAGAGUUUGAUCAUGGCUCAGAUUGAACGCUGGCGGCAGGCCUAACACAUGCAAGUCGAACGGUAACAGGAAGCAGCUUGCUGCUUCGCUGACGAGUGGCGGACGGGUGAGUAAUGUCUGGGAAACUGCCUGAUGGAGGGGGAUAACUACUGGAAACGGUAGCUAAUACCGCAUAAUGUCGCAAGACCAAAGAGGGGGACCUUCGGGCCUCUUGCCAUCGGAUGUGCCCAGAUGGGAUUAGCUUGUUGGUGGGGUAACGGCUCACCAAGGCGACGAUCCCUAGCUGGUCUGAGAGGAUGACCAGCCACACUGGAACUGAGACACGGUCCAGACUCCUACGGGAGGCAGCAGUGGGGAAUAUUGCACAAUGGGCGCAAGCCUGAUGCAGCCAUGCCGCGUGUAUGAAGAAGGCCUUCGGGUUGUAAAGUACUUUCAGCGGGGAGGAAGGGAGUAAAGUUAAUACCUUUGCUCAUUGACGUUACCCGCAGAAGAAGCACCGGCUAACUCCGUGCCAGCAGCCGCGGUAAUACGGAGUGUGCAAGCGUUAAUCGGAAUUACUGGGCGUAAAGCGCACGCAGGCGGUUUGUUAAGUCAGAUGUGAAAUCCCCGGGCUCAACCUGGGAACUGCAUCUGAUACUGGCAAGCUUGAGUCUCGUAGAGGGGGGUAGAAUUCCAGGUGUAGCGGUGAAAUGCGUAGAGAUCUGGAGGAAUACCGGUGGCGAAGGCGGCCCCCUGGACGAAGACUGACGCUCAGGUGCGAAAGCGUGGGGAGCAAACAGGAUUAGAUACCCUGGUAGUCCACGCCGUAAACGAUGUCGACUUGGAGGUUGUGCCCUUGAGGCGUGGCUUCCGGAGCUAACGCGUUAAGUCGACCGCCUGGGGAGUACG
Molecule: ribosomal RNA, 894 nt
Filed under: Shigella sonnei
Lineage: Bacteria; Pseudomonadati; Pseudomonadota; Gammaproteobacteria; Enterobacterales; Enterobacteriaceae
Description: bacterial SSU rRNA
Rfam family: Bacterial small subunit ribosomal RNA
Source: RNAcentral